GAUGAACGCUGGCGGCGUGCCUAAUACAUGCAAGUCGAGCGAACAGACGAGGAGCUUGCUCCUCUGACGUUAGCGGCGGACGGGUGAGUAACACGUGGAUAACCUACCUAUAAGACUGGGAUAACUUCGGGAAACCGGAGCUAAUACCGGAUAAUAUAUUGAACCGCAUGGUUCAAUAGUGAAAGACGGUUUUGCUGUCACUUAUAGAUGGAUCCGCGCCGCAUUAGCUAGUUGGUAAGGUAACGGCUUACCAAGGCAACGUUGCGUAGCCGACCUGAGAGGGUGAUCGGCCACACUGGAACUGAGACACGGUCCAGACUCCUACGGGAGGCAGCAGUAGGGAAUCUUCCGCAAUGGGCGAAAGCCUGACGGAGCAACGCCGCGUGAGUGAUGAAGGUCUUCGGAUCGUAAAACUCUGUUAUUAGGGAAGAACAAAUGUGUAAGUAACUAUGCACGUCUUGACGGUACCUAAUCAGAAAGGCACGGCUAACUACGUG
RNAcentral lists this ribosomal RNA (497 nucleotides) under uncultured bacterium. RNAcentral describes it as "partial 16S ribosomal RNA". It matches the Rfam family "Bacterial small subunit ribosomal RNA", at positions 28 to 507 of the family's 1533-position model. The record is from RNAcentral.